GACGAACGCUGGCGGCGUGCUUAACACAUGCAAGUCGAACGAUGAACCGGAGCUUGCUCCGGGGAUUAGUGGCGAACGGGUGAGUAACACGUGGGCAACCUGCCCCAGACACCGGGAUAACCUUCCGAAAGGAUGGCUAAUACCGGAUAUGACCACUUCGGGCAUCCGACGGUGGUGGAAAGGAUUCUGGUCUGGGAUGGGCCCGCGGCCUAUCAGCUUGUUGGUGGGGUAAUGGCCUACCAAGGCGACGACGGGUAGCCGGCCUGAGAGGGCGACCGGCCACACUGGGACUGAGACACGGCCCAGACUCCUACGGGAGGCAGCAGUGGGGAAUAUUGCGCAAUGGGCGAAAGCCUGACGCAGCGACGCCGCGUGAGGGACGAAGGUCUUCGGAUUGUAAACCUCUUUCAGCAGGGACGAAGCGAAAGUGACUGUACCUGCAGAAGAAGCACCGGCUAACUACGUGCCAGCAGCCGCGGUAAGGCACGACUG
RNAcentral lists this ribosomal RNA (492 nucleotides) under uncultured bacterium. RNAcentral describes it as "bacterial SSU rRNA". It matches the Rfam family "Bacterial small subunit ribosomal RNA", at positions 28 to 531 of the family's 1533-position model. The record is from RNAcentral.